GCAGAGUGUAUGUGUAAACAGCAGGGAGAGAACGCAUGCAAUUUGAAUUGAAAAACUGUGGAAGAGUGCUGAAGUCGAAAAGCACUUGUUGCUUUCUGUGAUUGUUUACUGAGACAUUCUGACUGGUUUUUGGUUCCUGGACAAAUUGUUGGAGGAUGUGAUUGACCCCUGAAUCAUCUGAGUGGAUUCUUCUGGAUAUCUCUUUGUCAUUUUGCCCUGUGUUUCAACUCUUCCGCUCUUGUUCUUCUGUUCUUGAGAACCUGGAGUGUUAUUUCUGGGAAGCGGUAGGACUGAGACAUUAUUUCAUACACAUUGCCCGGGACUGAGACAUUUUUUUCCUUACAUAUUCCCCUGUAUCCAAAGGAGAAGAAAAAACUGAACAUUUAAAUAUUGGGGAUAUGCUUUUUGAAAUACUUGGGUUAUAAUUGUACUGUUUAUAUUUGUUUCAAUCUAAUUGUCAAUUUAUUUUCAUUACUUGAGUGUUUUUUUGAAGUGCCAGAAGAAAAAAAAGGGGAAACCAUUCGCCUAUAUUGCCACAAUAUAUAUAUAUAUUCCUGGCUAAUUGUUCUUCGUGUGUGCCAUUGAUUUUUUUUAUAUAUAUUUCCAUUUAUGGUGUUUUCACAUGUUCUUUGAGAAUCAGAGUACUUGAUUUGAAUGACACGUGCCCUAAAAGCUCCUUGAACGAACUUAGAGGAACAGACAUUUAGAUUUAGAUAAGCCCUG
Non-coding RNA from Misgurnus anguillicaudatus (oriental weatherfish), 723 nucleotides. NCBI's taxonomy places the organism in Eukaryota, Metazoa, Chordata, Actinopteri, Cypriniformes, Cobitidae. The record is from RefSeq and is a predicted model, not a curated record.